UAAUGGCUUACCAAGCCGUUGAUCGGUACGGGUUGUGAGAGCAAGAGCCCGGAGAUGGAACUGAGACAAGGUUCCAGGCCUACGGGGUGCAGCAGGCGCGAAACCUCCGCAAUGUGAGAAAUCGCGACGGGGGGAUCCCAAGUGCCAUUCUUAACGGGAUGGCUUUUCAUUAGUGUAAAAAGCUUUUGGAAUAAGAGCUGGGCAAGACCGGUGCCAGCCGCCGCGGUAACACCGGCAGCUCUAGUGGUAGCAACUUUUAUUGGGCCUAAAGCGUCCGUAGCCGGUUUAAUAAGUCUCUGGUGAAAUCCUGUAGCUUAACUGUGGGAAUUGCUGGAGAUACUAUUAGACUUGAGACCGGGAGAGGUUGGAGGUACUCCCAGGGUAGAGGUGAAAUUCUGUAAUCCUGGGAGGACCGCCUGUUGCGAAGGCGUCUAACUGGAACGGUUCUGACGGUGAGGGACGAAAGUUAGGGGCGCGAACCGGAUUAGAUACCCGGGUAGUCCUAACUGUAAACGAUGCGGACUUGGUGUUGGGGUGGCUUUGAGCUGCUCCAGUGCCGAAGGGAAGCUGUUAAGUCCGCCGCCUGGGAAGUACGGUCGCAAGACUGAAACUUAA
Molecule: ribosomal RNA, 615 nt
Filed under: uncultured archaeon
Lineage: Archaea
Description: bacterial SSU rRNA
Rfam family: Archaeal small subunit ribosomal RNA
Source: RNAcentral